RNAcentral lists this ribosomal RNA (465 nucleotides) under Vreelandella stevensii. RNAcentral describes it as "partial 16S ribosomal RNA". It matches the Rfam family "Bacterial small subunit ribosomal RNA", at positions 338 to 795 of the family's 1533-position model. The record is from RNAcentral. Lineage: Bacteria; Pseudomonadati; Pseudomonadota; Gammaproteobacteria; Oceanospirillales; Halomonadaceae.
CCUACGGGUGGCAGCAGUGGGGAAUAUUGGACAAUGGGGGCAACCCUGAUCCAGCCAUGCCGCGUGUGUGAAGAAGGCCCUCGGGUUGUAAAGCACUUUCAGUGAGGAAGAACGCCUGGUGGUUAAUACCCAUCAGGAAAGACAUCACUCACAGAAGAAGCACCGGCUAACUCCGUGCCAGCAGCCGCGGUAAUACGGAGGGUGCGAGCGUUAAUCGGAAUCACUGGGCGUAAAGCGCGCGUAGGUGGCUUGAUAAGCCGGUUGUGAAAGCCCCGGGCUCAACCUGGGAACGGCAUCCGGAACUGUCAAGCUAGAGUGCAGGAGAGGAAGGUAGAAUUCCCGGUGUAGCGGUGAAAUGCGUAGAGAUCGGGAGGAAUACCAGUGGCGAAGGCGGCCUUCUGGACUGACACUGACACUGAGGUGCGAAAGCGUGGGUAGCAAACAGGAUUAGAUACCCCAGUAGUC